GACGAACGCUGGCGGCGUGCUUAACACGUGCAAGUCGAACGAUGAAGAAGAGAAACGCGAACUUCGGUUCAAAUUUCACUUCGGAUUAGUGGCAGACGGGUGAGUAACGCGUGAGCAACCUACCUCUUACAAAGGGAUAGCCUCGGGAAACCGUGAUUAAUACCAUAUGACACAUUCAUAAGGCAUCUUAAGAAUGUUAAAGCUACGGCGGUAAGAGAUGGGCUCGCGUCCCAUUAGCUAGUUGGUGAGGUAACGGCCCACCAAGGCGACGAUGGGUAACCGGCCUGAGAGGGUGAACGGUCACAUUGGAACUGAGACACGGUCCAAACUCCUACGGGAGGCAGCAGUGGGGAAUAUUGCACAAUGGAGGGAACUCUGAUGCAGCGACGCCGCGUGGGCGAUGAAGGAAUUCGUUUCGUAAGCUCUGUUCUAUGGGAAGAAAAGGACUGUACCAUAGGAGAAAGCCCCGGCUAAAUACGUG
This 481-nucleotide ribosomal RNA is filed under the name uncultured bacterium. Its description in RNAcentral is "partial 16S ribosomal RNA". It matches the Rfam family "Bacterial small subunit ribosomal RNA", at positions 28 to 507 of the family's 1533-position model. The record is from RNAcentral.